UUAGGCGUAGACGAAUCGGUAGAGUCACUGGCCUUGAAAAACGCCUUUUGAGGCUAAGAGCCAGGGAAAACAUUGCGUGCGGGUUCGAAUCCCGUCGCCGAAU
This 103-nucleotide transfer RNA is filed under the name Pseudomonas guariconensis. RNAcentral's name for it is "tRNA-OTHER". It matches the Rfam family "tRNA". Rfam says of the family: Transfer RNA (tRNA) molecules are approximately 80 nucleotides in length. The record is from RNAcentral. Lineage: Bacteria; Pseudomonadati; Pseudomonadota; Gammaproteobacteria; Pseudomonadales; Pseudomonadaceae.